Molecule: ribosomal RNA, 193 nt
Filed under: Elusimicrobiota bacterium
Lineage: Bacteria; Pseudomonadati; Elusimicrobiota
Description: partial 23S ribosomal RNA
Rfam family: Bacterial large subunit ribosomal RNA
Source: RNAcentral
UUGUUCCGCCAGGAGCAUUGCCGAGUAGCCAAGUAUGGAUGAGAUAAACGCUGAAAGCAUAUAAGUGUGAAACUCGCCUCAAGAUAAGGUUUCCCUGAAGGGCGCUUGAAGACUACAAGUUUGAUAGGUUGGGAGUGGAAGUGCAGUAAUGCAUGUAGCUAACCAAUACUAAUUGCCCGUUUGGCUUGGUCGC